AAUCAGGCCGCUUUGCUUCGCACUGCCCUCAGAGAAGCAGUGUGCCCAGAAGUCAAGUGUGAGCUCUUGAGUCAAAAUGCUUGGAUUUGAAUUCCAACUCUGCUGCUUACCAGCUGUGUGACAUGGGGUGAGUGAGUUACCUGACCUCUCUGUACCUCUAUGUCAUCAUCUUUAAAAUGGAGAGCCUGAAGAAGCCGGUUGCCAAGGUGACAGGAGCAGGAACAGCAGGGAGCUUGCCAUGGGGGAGGGGCUUUGCCCCCAAACAGCUGUCAGUGGGAGCAGUCCCAGCUGGGACUGGAGG
Molecule: long non-coding RNA, 301 nt
Filed under: Pan troglodytes (chimpanzee)
Lineage: Eukaryota; Metazoa; Chordata; Mammalia; Primates; Hominidae
Description: long non-coding RNA NONPTRT000173
Source: RNAcentral